AGCAGCCGCGGUAAUUCCAGCUCCAAUAGCGUAUAUUAAAGUUGUUGCAGUUAAAAAGCUCGUAGUUGAAUUUCGGGGUUAGUAGGUUGGUCAUGCCUCUGGUAUGUACUGGUCUCACUGAUUCCUCCUUCCUGAUGAGCCGUAAUGCCAUUAAUUUGGUGUUGCGGGGAAUCAGGACUGUUACUUUGAAAAAAUUAGAGUGUUUAAAGCAGGCUAACGCUUGAAUACAUUAGCAUGGAAUAAUGAAAUAGGACGUUUGAUCCUAUUUUGUUGGUUUCUAGGAUCGACGUAAUGAUUAAUAGGGAUAGUUGGGGGCAUUAGUAUUCAAUUGUCAGAGGUGAAAAUUCUUGGAUUUAUUGAAGACUAACUACUGCGAAAGCAUUUGCCAAGGAUGUUUUCAUUAAUCAAGAACGAAAGUUAGGGGAUCGAAGACGAUCAGAUACCGUCGUAGUCUUAACCAUAAACUAUGCCGACUAGGGAUCGGAUGAUGUUAAUUUUUAAUGUACUCAUUCGGCGCCU
Molecule: ribosomal RNA, 519 nt
Filed under: uncultured Glomus
Lineage: Eukaryota; Fungi; Glomeromycota; Glomeromycetes; Glomerales; Glomeraceae
Description: SSU rRNA
Rfam family: Eukaryotic small subunit ribosomal RNA
Source: RNAcentral